This 552-nucleotide small RNA is filed under the name Pongo abelii (Sumatran orangutan). Its description in RNAcentral is "processed transcript". Lineage: Eukaryota; Metazoa; Chordata; Mammalia; Primates; Hominidae. The record is from RNAcentral.
GCUCUUGCUGGCUGCAGCCGUGGGCCUCUGCUCACCGUGCCGCUGCUGCUGCCUGCGAAAUGACGGCGGUUCCCCUCACUUCCAGGAAUCCACGCUUCCUGGAAGGUGAGUGGCUGGGCUCACCCCUGCCUGCCACUGAGACGCAGACAUGCAUACACCACCCGCACUCCCUCGCCGUUUCCAAGGCGGCGGCCGCGUUCGCACCCCAGGGUCUCACCGGCAAGGGAAGGAUAAUCUGGAGAGGGAUCCCUCAGGAGGGUGUGUUCCGGAUUUCUUGCCUCAGGCCCAAGACUCCAACCAUUUUAUAAUGGAAUCUUUAUUUUGUGAAAAUCCUGCACCGGCUGGGGGCUCCAGAGAGGAACAGUAGGGAAGAAUGUCUGUCCUGAACAUCUGUCCCUUCUGCAGCCCCCAUUUUCCUCUCCGCCCUGGCGCACCCAGCCCCAGCCCUGCUUCCUGUGGACGUCAGGUAGUGAUGCUCUUCCCCUCAGGCCUAGAUAAAGGUAGGGUAGGCAAGGCCCAGCCACUGAGCUCACAGAAGGCAGCACCAGGCAU